UACAGAGGGGGCAAGCGUUGUUCGGAAUUACUGGGCGUAAAGGGCGCGUAGGCGGCCUGUUAAGUCGAACGUGAAAUCCCCGGGCUCAACCCGGGAACUGCGUCCGAUACUGGCAGGCUUGAAUCCGGGAGAGGGAUGCGGAAUUCCAGGUGUAGCGGUGAAAUGCGUAGAUAUCUGGAGGAACACCGGUGGCGAAGGCGGCAUCCUGGACCGGUAUUGACGCUGAGGCGCGAAAGCCAGGGGAGCAAAAGGG
This 253-nucleotide ribosomal RNA is filed under the name uncultured bacterium. Its description in RNAcentral is "partial 16S ribosomal RNA". It matches the Rfam family "Bacterial small subunit ribosomal RNA", at positions 524 to 776 of the family's 1533-position model. The record is from RNAcentral.